Molecule: ribosomal RNA, 253 nt
Filed under: uncultured bacterium
Lineage: Bacteria
Description: partial 16S ribosomal RNA
Rfam family: Bacterial small subunit ribosomal RNA
Source: RNAcentral
UACGUAGGGUGCGAGCGUUGUCCGGAAUUACUGGGCGUAAAGAGCUCGUAGGUGGUUUGUCGCGUUGUUCGUGAAAACCGGGGGCUUAACCCUCGGCGUGCGGGCGAUACGGGCAGACUUGAGUACUGCAGGGGAGACUGGAAUUCCUGGUGUAGCGGUGGAAUGCGCAGAUAUCAGGAGGAACACCGGUGGCGAAGGCGGGUCUCUGGGCCUUACCUGACGCUGAGGAGCGAAAGCGUGGGUAGCGAACAGG